RNAcentral lists this ribosomal RNA (319 nucleotides) under uncultured eukaryote. RNAcentral describes it as "partial 18S ribosomal RNA". It matches the Rfam family "Eukaryotic small subunit ribosomal RNA", at positions 1470 to 1796 of the family's 1831-position model. The record is from RNAcentral.
CCCUUAGAUGUUCUGGGCUGCACGCGUGCUACAAUGAAGCGUCCAACAAGAUGCGAAGCCGAAAGGCUCAGCGGAUCUUUGAAGUCGUUUCGUGACCGGGACAGUUGAUUGCAAUUAUUCGACUCGAACGAGGAAUUCCUUGUAAUCGCGAUUCAUCAUAUCGCGCUGAAUACGUCCCUGCCCUUUGUACACACCGCCCGUCGCUCCUACCGAUUGAGCGAUCCGGUGAAUUAUUUGGAGUGUCCACACAAGCCAAUCCGUUUACGUGGGUGCGAAAUUUUGUAAACCUUAUCGCUUAGAGGAAGGAAAAGUCGUAACA